Candoia aspera is the source of this 258-nucleotide long non-coding RNA. RefSeq lists it as uncharacterized. The record is from RefSeq and is a predicted model, not a curated record. Lineage: Eukaryota; Metazoa; Chordata; Lepidosauria; Squamata; Candoiidae. The transcript has 2 exons.
ACAAAACACUGCUGGCAGAAACAGAAGUUCCAAAAUCUAGAACAUUACUCUUCUAGAAAUGGCCUCAAAAUAGAGAAAAAAAUUUGUUCCAGAUGGUCCCUCAGCUCUUCCAAGCUCAAUGGAUGUUGUGAGGGCUACAGCAGAUGCAUCUUCCACUAACAAAUGUUCUAUCAGUAGCCAGAUACAACUGGACACAACCCAAUCUAUUUGAUAACAAGUUGUGGAUUUCCUAAUAAAAACUAAGAAAUGUCAUGUGUC